CGUACCCAUUGGGAACCAUGGAGUUGGUUCUCACCCCACGUGGUUUUGGGGUGUUACAGGUUCACACGUGAGCGGCGCAGCGGCGCGAGGCGAGGGCGUAGCAUCAUAGAUAGCGCCAUACCACCGAGACCAGAGAUAGCGGUACCCUGAGCUGGCCUCUACUUAGGGAUGUAAAGAAUGAAAAGAAUCAAGUUGUAAUAAUUAUGUUAAAUCGGAUUGUUUUUGGAAGUUAAGUGAAAGCUAAUGUAAGAAUCUAAUGAGAUUUGUGAUGUAAAAAUGUAUGAAUGUGAAUGCAUGUAAUAACAUAGGAUGUGUUAUGUUGUUUGAUACCUUCCAUUAUGCAAUCUUGAUUGAAAUGUGUUCCUGGUUGGAACUUCGCACAUUGUAUUUAUUGCUAUGCCUUGAACGUACAGGGGAGACUCUGUCCGCAGUACAGGGGAAACCCUGUCCGUUCGGCCAUCUGUUGGCGGCGCCGCAACCCGACCAAAUAGGCGGGUGGUCGCGGGGCGUGACAUACUGAGUUGAAGUUG
RNAcentral lists this long non-coding RNA (530 nucleotides) under Ananas comosus (pineapple). RNAcentral's name for it is "long non-coding RNA (ACOM_LNC005713)". The record is from RNAcentral. Lineage: Eukaryota; Viridiplantae; Streptophyta; Magnoliopsida; Poales; Bromeliaceae.